AAACCAAGUCUUGCAAAAACAUCAAGGGACUUUUCAUGAUCACAUCAUGGGAACUGCUGCGCUAACUAAGCAGGUUCAGAGGAGCUGACACAACAGCCUGUCCCCCAAGAAGAGGGUACCACUGUUCCCUCUGCUCUAAACCCCUGCUAUGGGAAUUGCUGCCCAUCAUGUGCCAUGCAAUGGCCAAAACAGGCACUACUGUCAUCCAGAACCUCUCAGGAUCAGGGGACAGACAACCUCUGUCCUCAGGGUUAUCUGAGAUCUCCCACCCUCCUGAUGGGAAGUGCCCAUUGCUGUGACACUGCAUCCACAGCCACACCAUCCUUGCAGGCUUGGGAACUGUGCAACAGCUUUGGUGACAAUCAAGAUGAUGCUGCUUGUCAACACUAAGCCAAAACAGAUUAUUGUGAUGAGGGAAUCAGAACUCUCCAAGCACAAUCAUGAAAUCUGACCCAAUAGACUCCUGCAGCCUCUCUUGCUAUCAAUCAGCUGUAGGUUAAAUUCUCUCAGAGAAGAAAGCAAUCAAAGUUUAUUUCAGAGUGCAUUGAGAUAAUUCCUAGACCUCACUGAAAUAAAUGAAUGCCUCUCUCACA
RNAcentral lists this long non-coding RNA (593 nucleotides) under Zonotrichia albicollis (white-throated sparrow). RNAcentral's name for it is "lncRNA (ENSZALG00000010090.1)". The record is from RNAcentral. Lineage: Eukaryota; Metazoa; Chordata; Aves; Passeriformes; Passerellidae.